This 230-nucleotide long non-coding RNA is filed under the name Elaeis guineensis (African oil palm). RNAcentral describes it as "long non-coding RNA (EGUI_LNC068906)". Lineage: Eukaryota; Viridiplantae; Streptophyta; Magnoliopsida; Arecales; Arecaceae. The record is from RNAcentral.
GUCUGCUAGAAGAGUCUUAAAGACACUAUGGAAGGUCGAAUUUUGGAGGAGUCUGAGAUUCAAUUUUGCUAUAUUCCAGCUUUUGUAGGAGUCUGAAAGGAGUUCGCUUAUUGUAGAAGCUCGGACGAAGACCAAUUAUCAUGGAAGCUUGGGUGGAGACUUCUUAUUGUAGAAGUCUCACUGUUGAAGAAGCUCGGUCAUUGAUGAAGUUUAGAAAAAGUUCAGAGUAG